RNAcentral lists this ribosomal RNA (426 nucleotides) under Bradyrhizobium japonicum. Its description in RNAcentral is "bacterial SSU rRNA". It matches the Rfam family "Bacterial small subunit ribosomal RNA", at positions 16 to 486 of the family's 1533-position model. RNAcentral also lists the same sequence under 6 other names. The record is from RNAcentral. Lineage: Bacteria; Pseudomonadati; Pseudomonadota; Alphaproteobacteria; Hyphomicrobiales; Nitrobacteraceae.
AUCCUGGCUCAGAGCGAACGCUGGCGGCAGGCUUAACACAUGCAAGUCGAGCGGGCGUAGCAAUACGUCAGCGGCAGACGGGUGAGUAACGCGUGGGAACGUACCUUUUGGUUCGGAACAACACAGGGAAACUUGUGCUAAUACCGGAUAAGCCCUUACGGGGAAAGAUUUAUCGCCGAAAGAUCGGCCCGCGUCUGAUUAGCUAGUUGGUGAGGUAAUGGCUCACCAAGGCGACGAUCAGUAGCUGGUCUGAGAGGAUGAUCAGCCACAUUGGGACUGAGACACGGCCCAAACUCCUACGGGAGGCAGCAGUGGGGAAUAUUGGACAAUGGGGGCAACCCUGAUCCAGCCAUGCCGCGUGAGUGAUGAAGGCCCUAGGGUUGUAAAGCUCUUUUGUGCGGGAAGAUAAUGACGGUACCGCAAGAA